UACGUAGGGUGCGAGCGUUGUCCGGAAUUAUUGGGCGUAAAGAGCUCGUAGGCGGUGUGUCGCGUCGGCCGUGAAAACCUGCAGCUUAACUGUGGGCUUGCGGUCGAUACGGGCAUCACUGGAGUUCGGCAGGGGAGACUGGAAUUCCUGGUGUAGCGGUGAAAUGCGCAGAUAUCAGGAGGAACACCGGUGGCGAAAGCGGCUCUCUGGAACGGUACUGACGCUGAGACGCGAAAGCGUGGGGAGCGAACAGG
Molecule: ribosomal RNA, 254 nt
Filed under: uncultured bacterium
Lineage: Bacteria
Description: partial 16S ribosomal RNA
Rfam family: Bacterial small subunit ribosomal RNA
Source: RNAcentral